UACGGAGGGGGCUAGCGUUGUUCGGAAUUACUGGGCGUAAAGCGUACGUAGGCGGCUUGUUAAGUUAGAGGUGAAAGCCCGAGGCUCAACCUCGGAACUGCCUUUAAUACUGGAAAGCUUGAGUCCGGGAGAGGUGAGUGGAACUCCUAGUGUAGAGGUGAAAUUCGUAGAUAUUAGGAAGAACACCAGUGGCGAAGGCGGCUCACUGGCCCGGUACUGACGCUGAGGUACGAAAGCGUGGGGAGCAAACAGG
Molecule: ribosomal RNA, 253 nt
Filed under: uncultured bacterium
Lineage: Bacteria
Description: partial 16S ribosomal RNA
Rfam family: Bacterial small subunit ribosomal RNA
Source: RNAcentral